UAAAAAAAAUAAAUUUGGGGUCUUCCAAAAAGCGAUAUAAACCACCUCCACCUCCCUUGCCGGUUCCUCCAGGUCACGUCUCUGCCAUGCCUCCCGCAUCGGUGGUAAGAUCUAUUUCAGCAGGGGCAUCCUCACAGAUGUAAAGGUCUCGAGUUUGAGUUUAUUGGGAGCAUUUAGGUGGAUUCGGGUUUCGGAUUAUAGGUAUUCCAAAUCAAUCUCUUGGCUUUCGAUUUUCUGCUGCUUCUGCUUCUGCUUCGAGGAAGAAAAAAGCUUUCCUUCAAAGAUGAAGCAUAUUUAUGUGGCUAAACAGACUGCUAGUGGAACACCAAUGGCUUCAUGAACAGAAUAUUAAAUGGAUUUCUGGUUUUAGAAGUAGAAAGCAGCAGAGACUGAAGCAUCUUUCCAGUGAAAAUUUUGUUUUUGUUUUUGUUCUAAUUUUUUUCCCAAACAAAAAUUUUGGGAAGGGGGAAGUUUGAGAUUUAGAUCUCUGAAUUGACAUGCCAGUCUUUCAGGGUAAAUUUGAUAGAGCGGGUUGAGCACGUCCAUUCUGUAUCUUGUUAUCGGGUGUAGUUUGCUGGUUGGCUCGAUUAUGUUAUUUCCAAAUAUUUGUGUGCUAGCUAGGAUUAAUAUUAUAUGACACAUGCUUGGAAUGGAACUAGUAAUUGCACUUUCUCUUUGAUUCCUUUAAUGUCGAAGUAUUUCUUCCUUUUGCUGCUUUA
Manihot esculenta (cassava) is the source of this 719-nucleotide long non-coding RNA. RefSeq lists it as uncharacterized. The transcript has 2 exons. The record is from RefSeq and is a predicted model, not a curated record. NCBI's taxonomy places the organism in Eukaryota, Viridiplantae, Streptophyta, Magnoliopsida, Malpighiales, Euphorbiaceae.